This 29-nucleotide non-coding RNA is filed under the name Rattus norvegicus (Norway rat). Lineage: Eukaryota; Metazoa; Chordata; Mammalia; Rodentia; Muridae. The record is from RNAcentral.
UCCUUCUGUUGUCUCUGCUUGUGCUCUUU